AGUGAACGCUGGCGGUAGGCCUAACACAUGCAAGUCGAACGGCAGCACAGUAAUAGCUUGCUCUUACGGGUGGCGAGUGGCGGACGGGUGAGGAAUACAUCGGAAUCUACUUUUUCGUGGGGGAUAACGUAGGGAAACUUACGCUAAUACCGCAUACGACCUACGGGUGAAAGCAGGGGAUCUUCGGACCUUGCGCGAUUGAAUGAGCCGAUGUCGGAUUAGCUAGUUGGCGGGGUAAAGGCCCACCAAGGCGACGAUCCGUAGCUGGUCUGAGAGGAUGAUCAGCCACACUGGAACUGAGACACGGUCCAGACUCCUACGGGAGGCAGCAGUGGGGAAUAUUGGACAAUGGGCGCAAGCCUGAUCCAGCCAUACCGCGUGGGUGAAGAAGGCAUUCGGGUUGUAAAGCCCUUUUGUUGGGAAAGAAAAGCAGCAGGUUAAUACCCCGCUGUUCUGACGGUACCCAAAGAAUAAGCACCGGCUAACUUCGUG
RNAcentral lists this ribosomal RNA (492 nucleotides) under uncultured bacterium. RNAcentral's name for it is "partial 16S ribosomal RNA". It matches the Rfam family "Bacterial small subunit ribosomal RNA", at positions 29 to 507 of the family's 1533-position model. The record is from RNAcentral.